ACUGUCAUCCAGAACGGCGCAGCCCGGACCGCUGCGACCCUCCAGGAUGGGCGUCUGCAGGAUGUUCCACUGGUCUGCUUUUGGGUCGUAACACUCGACGAGCAUCACAUCCAGAUGGCAGCGUAGCGCACAACUAUGUGGAGUAGACGCGCACCAAAGGAAGAAUAAAUGCUAACAGCAGCUCAACUCGUGAUGUGUUUCUUUUCCAUUUCACAGACCACAUGCCCUCUGAACCGUGACUUAGAGGAGCAACAUUCGGUUUUAUACACCUGUGACCAGGCAAAGUGAUUAGGACACCUGAUUCUGAUCAUUU
This is a long non-coding RNA of Oryzias melastigma (Indian medaka), 313 nucleotides long. RefSeq lists it as uncharacterized. The transcript is spliced from 3 exons. The record is from RefSeq and is a predicted model, not a curated record. Lineage: Eukaryota; Metazoa; Chordata; Actinopteri; Beloniformes; Adrianichthyidae.